CCAGGGUUAGUCGGGACCUAAGCCGAGGCCGAUAGGCGUAGGCGAUGGAUAACAGGUUGAUAUUCCUGUACCCGUUGUUUUUGUUUGAGCAAUGGAGGGACGCAGGAGGCUAAGGAAUGCAGACGAUUGGAAAUGUCUGUCCAAGCAGUAAGUCUGAAGAGGAGUCAAAUGCUUCUUUUCUUAAGGACAAGCUGUGAUGGGGAGGGAAAUAAUAGUACCGAAGUUCCUGAUGUCACACUGCCGAGAAAAGCUUCU
RNAcentral lists this ribosomal RNA (255 nucleotides) under Enterococcus faecium. RNAcentral describes it as "partial 23S ribosomal RNA". It matches the Rfam family "Bacterial large subunit ribosomal RNA", at positions 1374 to 1622 of the family's 2925-position model. The record is from RNAcentral. Lineage: Bacteria; Bacillati; Bacillota; Bacilli; Lactobacillales; Enterococcaceae. RNAcentral also lists the same sequence under 1 other name.